RNAcentral lists this ribosomal RNA (199 nucleotides) under Metabacillus rhizolycopersici. Its description in RNAcentral is "partial 16S ribosomal RNA". It matches the Rfam family "Bacterial small subunit ribosomal RNA", at positions 1 to 196 of the family's 1533-position model. The record is from RNAcentral. Lineage: Bacteria; Bacillati; Bacillota; Bacilli; Caryophanales; Bacillaceae.
UUAUUGGAGAGUUUGAUCCUGGCUCAGGACGAACGCUGGCGGCGUGCCUAAUACAUGCAAGUCGAGCGAAUUGAUGGGAGCUUGCUCCCUGAUAUUAGCGGCGGACGGGUGAGUAACACGUGGGUAACCUGCCUGUAAGAUUGGGAUAACUCCGGGAAACCGGAGCUAAUACCGGAUAACAUUUUGAACCGCAUGGUUC